UAGUGAUGUUAUGGAAUAUGAUGACAUUAUGACUGGUGGGAGUCUGUCCUCUGGAACCCCUGCUGUUCAUGAGAAUGUCAGCUAAUUCCCUGCACAGUGAUGUUCACGGCCAGUUAUCAGGUCUAUAAUCAUCAAUGGAAGACCCAGGAUAUUUCUAGCUGUAUUACCCUUAGAGGUGGUAGUGAAAGGGGAACUCGGAUGUCAAGCCUUAAUGAUCUGCUUAUAACCGGAUGACCCUGCUAAUAUAAAUAACAUCUGCGAAAAGUGCUAAAAACCCAAACUGGAAA
Long non-coding RNA from Hyla sarda, 287 nucleotides. RefSeq lists it as uncharacterized. The record is from RefSeq and is a predicted model, not a curated record. The transcript is spliced from 3 exons. NCBI's taxonomy places the organism in Eukaryota, Metazoa, Chordata, Amphibia, Anura, Hylidae.